Molecule: ribosomal RNA, 429 nt
Filed under: bacterium
Lineage: Bacteria
Description: partial 16S ribosomal RNA
Rfam family: Bacterial small subunit ribosomal RNA
Source: RNAcentral
UAGGGAAUCUUCGGCAAUGGGGGCAACCCUGACCGAGCAACGCCGCGUGAGUGAAGAAGGUUUUCGGAUCGUAAAGCUCUGUUGUAAGAGAAGAACGUGUGUGAGAGUGGAAAGUUCACACAGUGACGGUAACUUACCAGAAAGGGACGGCUAACUACGUGCCAGCAGCCGCGGUAAUACGUAGGUCCCGAGCGUUGUCCGGAUUUAUUGGGCGUAAAGCGACCGCAGGCGGUUUAAUAAGUCUGAAGUUAAAGGCAGUGGCUUAACCAUUGUUCGCUUUGGAAACUGUUAAACUUGAGUGCAGAAGGGGAGAGUGGAAUUCCAUGUGUAGCGGUGAAAUGCGUAGAUAUAUGGAGGAACACCGGUGGCGAAAGCGGCUCUCUGGUCUGUAACUGACGCUGAGGCUCGAAAGCGUGGGGAGCAAACAGG